Long non-coding RNA from Papilio polytes (common Mormon), 1188 nucleotides. RefSeq lists it as uncharacterized. The record is from RefSeq and is a predicted model, not a curated record. The transcript is spliced from 5 exons. NCBI's taxonomy places the organism in Eukaryota, Metazoa, Arthropoda, Insecta, Lepidoptera, Papilionidae.
GACUUUCCAGUUAAAAAAAUAAACAAAUGAUAGAAGUGAAAACUUUAAAUCUUGAAAGAUAUAAAUAACGUUCGUUACAAAAAGCAGUUAUUUUAGAGUCCAACACUAAGUCAUAUAACAUCAAAACAUAGAAUAUUAAAGUCGUGUUGUUAAUUAGCAGGUUGUCUCUUACGUUAUUGCAUUGUUUAUAUCUUCUAUUUAUUUCUUAUCGUUUAUGAAAUACGAUAGCUUGUGUACAAAUGUGGUUAGUUAUGUUUAUUGAAUGUAACCGAUCAAAUUGAACAGGAGUAUUCAAGUGUAAUGGUGUUAUUUACAUAUAUGUGUUUACGUCUGUACUUGUACAUUUUAAAAAAUUAAAAAGAGCUCCCAUAAAUAACUACUGACAUUAAAGAGAAACUUUAAAAAUCAUUUUUUAAAACAUUACAAUAAUGAUGAUAAAAAAGGACUAUGGAAGAUGUUGUUUUUGUGUGGAUUUGAAAACAGCGUCCUACACUAUAGGCUACUUUCUCGCAGUUGUCCACACAGCGUUGUUACUGAUAGUAACAUAUACGAUAGUGAGUGUACCUCUAACACUAUCAGUAAAUGAUCCUCGAGAUAUGAAGAAGUUAAUGGCUAUUUUGGCAUUUGGACAGAUUGCUUUUCCCAUCUGUGUAUCGAAUAUAAAAUUUAUAAUAAUACUACUAGUUGGAUUGCAUGUGAAAAGUAUUCUGCGAAUUAAGGUGUAUUUGAUAUGCGCAACGUGUAUGGCAGUAUUUACAGUCAUCGCAGGGUUUGCUAUGGAAUUCCUUUUCCACAUAGAUCUUGCUGCUAGCAUAUCUGUUCUUAUUAAUCUGUUGAACGCCUAUUUCAUACACACUAUUUGGAGAUAUAUGAAGCAAAUCGAACCUAAGAACACAAAAUUACAAAAGGAAACAGUUUGAAAUAAGCGAAUAUGUGACAUAAAAAAUAUUAUUGACAGAUCUUUUAACGACAAAAAAAACAGUGAGGAAGGACUUAAGUUAACUAAGUAUAAAAAUACCACACGAUUAUUGAGACUACGAUUUUUAAAAGAAACUAUUGACUCUAAUGUUUCAUUUUUAAGGUGGCAAAAAACUUAAUCAGCCUUGAAAUAUGAAGCAUUUUUUAUUUUAAUAUUUUAAAUGCCUAUACAGUUUUUGUAACUUUCGGAAAUAAACUAUUGUUUUUUAA